UGGGUUUGUUCUAAGUAAAACUUCUUCAAGUUUAACCAAGCUUAUAGAAAAAUUCAGCAACAUUUUCAGCACAAAACAAAUAUACUUAAAAGUAUAUUCGAUGGUGGAUUUAAUGAAAUUAGUUUGGUGUUGUAGAUGUUAUGCUUUUCUAUAAACUUGGUCAAACUUGAAGAAAUUUGACUUAGGACAAACUCAA
Molecule: non-coding RNA, 196 nt
Organism: Oryza meridionalis
Lineage: Eukaryota; Viridiplantae; Streptophyta; Magnoliopsida; Poales; Poaceae
Source: Rfam